Molecule: long non-coding RNA, 2812 nt
Filed under: Diabrotica virgifera virgifera (western corn rootworm)
Lineage: Eukaryota; Metazoa; Arthropoda; Insecta; Coleoptera; Chrysomelidae
Description: uncharacterized LOC126883331
Source: RNAcentral
AAUAAAUAAAAUAAAAGUUUAAUCCUAACAACACAAAACAUUCCAGGAAUGUAGGUACUACCGUUCUAUUCCGUGAACAUCUAUCUGAUUAAAUUAUGGGUGGAAAGUUACCACAAGAUUCUAUGAACAUAGUACAAUGUCUUCCUGGAGGGGUAAAAUUUUCCAUUACAAGAUUUUAAGAGAGGCCAUUUAUUGUACUGUUCAAUUUGCGUUCAUUUUCAAAUUUGCCGCGCGAGUAUCUAUGUAGCGUCUCGUGGUCAUUGGUCAUCACAUUUCAUUUUCAUAACAUAACCGAUAACCUAAAAAUUUAGUAAAAAAGUAAAAAUUUUGAUUGGAAAAAAAUGCAUCGAUAAGGGGAUGUGGGAAAUGGAAAUUAGUGGCUUUUUUGCUGUACUGUCUGCUAGUUUUUGCUCUGGGCACUGGCUAGAUCUCUUGUUUAAACAAUUUUAAUCAGCUGAAAGUGGCCUACAAAAAAAAAACCAAGAAGGAAAUGUAUAGCCUUGUGGCUAUGAAAGGCAAAAGAGAGAUAUAAAAAGUGUAUUGGCUAGUUGGAAGAAAGUCCACAUUGUCCAUGCAUAAUAAGUUAUUACAUUAUCAACAAAUAUCAAGAAGAUAGCAGGGUCACGAGCAUCAACUUCAUGAGUUCAAGAAUAUCGAGGAAAUCCAGCUCCUCGAUACUACUGGGCAAACUAGAAGAUUGAAGAGGACAAAUCCUUUUGAACUAGUUUGAGUGAUAGGUGAUAGUGAAAAACGGAGCAUAGUGCUUGUGUGCUGUGCCUGUGUAUAUUAGAAUAGUGCACGAUCUUGUUAGAUUAGAUAAGAGAUGCUAUGGGGUAAGCUCUUCAUUUUAAGAAACAGUAGUAAUUUAGGCUAAAUUAAAAUUGCUCAUUGGUCAGUUAUGACCAGAUUGUUUUUUUAUGUUUGGCAAAAAGGACUUAAGUCAGAAUUGCACAUUGAUAAUGUUUUGAUGAUUUCUGGACCAGAAAAAAACUGUUGUAGAUGUAAACUGUAUGUACAGUAGAAUCUACUACAGUACUGUAGAAAUCAUCAAAACAUUAUCGAUGUGCAAUUCUGACUUAAGCCCUUUUUCCCAAACAUCAGAGAAUUGUAAUGUACAAUAAUUCUCCUAUCUGCUUUUUCAUGAAUUUUGUAGGAGACGAAAAACCAUUUUUAGGAUCAUCUACUUUCACAUGUUUUGUAGUAAAUAGAUAGUUGAAUUUACUACAAAACAUGUCAAAAAAUAUAUGAAAACAGGAGGUGACUAUAAAAAAAGUUUUUAGUCUCUCUUACAAAACUCAUGAAAAAACAAAUCGGAGGUAUGUCACAUCAGUGACUAAGAAUGUCUAAAAAAUAUACUUUGAUGUCCCAAGAACCAAAUAUAACCUACAGUCCAUCUAAUUUACUUACUGUUGCACGUCAUUAUCUACGCCAGAGAUCUAAGUUGACAUAGUUGCCAAAGUAUAAAAAGAUCCUGAAUCCAUUUUAAAUCAAAUAUGUCACAUAAUUAUUGUAAACGUGGAUUAUACAACAAAACAAAUUAAUAUUCAAUGUAAAUAAGUAAAAACUUAAGAAAUAGAGAACAAGAAUUAAGUUAUAAUCUUUUAAGAUUUGCAGUGCAAGAGUUUUUGCACUGCAUUGUUAAUAAUUAAAAAACGGCUCCGAACUCUUGGCAAAAAGCCGGUAGGUUUCUUUGUAUAAGUAUGUCUACAAUAACAACUACAAAAGUUGUCAGAUACCUCGAUUAUUCCAAGUCGUUAUAAAAUUAGGUGAAAUUUAUAUUUUUAUAGUAGAGGAUCUUUUUAUAGUAAAGUAAAUAAUAAAAACAGUAAAUAUAAUAAAUAAAACAGAUACUUAUAGUAAAGAAUAUAAACAAAUAUGAAGUGUCAUCACCGUAACUGUCAAAUAAAUGUUACCAAUUUAUUCUAAAAUGUCACCUUCGUUCGAUUACAGUUACAGUGUGAUCCGAACAAAUCUGCUUCAUAAAAACGCUUUAUAAUCCAUUUAUACAAAUUAAAUGAAACAUAUUAUUGUGUAUUUCUUUAGGUUAACAUUAAUAGAAAUCUUCAAAUAUUAUUUCUACGCGUAUAUAAUAAAAUAUGUCUAGUGGCUGUAAUUCCAGUGUACUCGGCAAAGUGAUUCUAAAAAAGAACACACCUACCGCCUAAAUAUUUCGUGUUGGUAUCAUGCAACCUCACAGGCUACGACGCGGAUGACGCGCAACAGUUAGUAAAUUAGACGAAGUAUGUAGAUAUAUACAGGGUGUAACAAAAAUACAGGUCAUAAAUUUAAUCACAUAUUCUGGGACCAAAAAUAGUUUGAUUGGACCUAACUUACCUUAGUACAAAUGUGCACACAAGAAAAGUUACAGCCCUUUGAAGUUAUAUAUAUAUAUAUAUAAUAGCACCAAGGGUCUUAGAGGCCCAUGGCUUGAAAAGUUUGUUUUUUUUCUUCAUUUUCAUGUUUCUUUAUGUACUGAGAUCUUCUCUGGCUUGAUAUGUGAUUUUUCUCCAUUCCUUCCUGUUAUUCAUUUUUCUUUUCUGACCCUGUAGCACCAUUCUUUCCAAAUCUUUUUCGACCUCUUGCUUCCAUCUAUUUUUCGGCCUUCCUCUUCUCUUUCUUGAAGCUGUAGUGUAGUUUAGUACCAUUUUUGGAGUCCUCGUGUUUGGCAUCCUUUCAAUGUGACCUCGCCAUCUAAGUCUCUGUGCCUUUAUCAUUCAUUUGAAGUUACAAGAUGAAGUGAUUUUUUCCAAUAUAUCGAAAAGUAUUAGAGAUUUUUUAUUGAAAAUGGACAUGUGGCAUUAUUAUGGCAGCA